UCCCAGACUUCCCUAAUCAUUUCCCUACUUACGUACACUGCUCUCUGUGUCGCUAUAGCACCUGCUGUUCUCGAGCUUAUGCCAACCACAUGAUCAACAAUCAUGUUCCACGGAAGAGCCCCAAGUAUUUGGCUUUGUUUAAAAAUUCUGUGAGGUAAGAAAAAACUUAUUGGCAGCAUCUUAAUUUUUCAGGUUUUUACAUUAAUUUUCAGGUUUUUCAUUAUUUGGAGAGGUGGUUAUGUGAAUUAAUUUCAGAAAAAGGAGAAAGUGGGAGGGCAUUCCUUUUCUUUCUUAAGCCUCAAAGCUUAAUGGUCUCAAGUGUCACUGCUGUAUUUGUCUUACAUAGUCUCAAUUCUCUUUUUUAGUGGAAUCAAGCUGGCCUGCACUUCAUGUACCUUUGUUACCUCUGUGGGCGAUGCUAUGGCCAAGCAUUUGGUAUUCAACCCCUCUCACAGAUCCAGCAGCAUCCUGCCACGGGGUAAGUAGGAGA
This 490-nucleotide small RNA is filed under the name Pan troglodytes (chimpanzee). RNAcentral describes it as "retained intron". Lineage: Eukaryota; Metazoa; Chordata; Mammalia; Primates; Hominidae. The record is from RNAcentral.